UCACCGACUCUGGUGCAAACGAAAACGUUGACUCAUCACAUUCAUCAAACACAAAGACUUUACUUGGUGUUGGAUUUGGUACUUUCAUAACUACGCUAACUAUUGUUGGUAGUUGUUUAGUCAUUUAUAGGCACGUGAGACUGAGACGAAACUGCAGGCAAACUAGUAGAAAUGAUCCUUGUCAACAAACGGAAAACAUUCAGUCUUCUCCCCAAUAUGAAACAAUUGAUAACGGCAAGAAAGAAAGCAACCAAAGCAACCAGUACAGUCAGCUGCAAGCGCCACAUGAACAAGAGGAUGUCACAAGAGAAAGACAUGCAGACAAGACUGUUGAACACACCGAAACAGACCGCAAUAUCCAGGACUAUACCAAUAUCAGAAUAUAAAUGAACUUCCGAUAGUUCAGUUAAUUCUAAACGGUUUUUAAUACAUCAACUGUUCUGUCUAGAAACAGGACGUAUUGUACAGUUUUGUAUUGAACGAAUACAGACGUUUUACUUUCAUGGAAAAUGCACUAUAUUGUACAGGAGAUGAAUAAUGUUUAACUUUGUAAUAUUUUAUUGUAUAUUUUGAAUUAUUUGCCUUCCUUUGAAGUAAAGAACUGGCACAAACAUUAAAGAAUACAUUGUAAUACAUUUCUUUAAUAUAUCCAAUGCUGUCUUAGAGAAAAAUUAUAUGUAUUGUGCCUAUUCGUAAUAAAAAAUAUGCUUUUACCCCCAACUUUAUCAAUAAAAACAGGGCUAAGGCGAAAACCGUAAUAAUAUCAAGGGGUUUCGCAAGUGCAUUGUGGGUGGACGGAUAGCUCAGUGGUUUGCACACUGGCCUUCUAAUCCUGAGGUCGGGGAUUCGAUCCCCAGCAGCUACUCGGGAAUUUUCAGAAACGCUUUUCACUGUUUCCCACCCAACUAGAGGUGUACUGGUCAGGAACCCAGGCAAUCCUUGUGUGUAUCAGUGCUAUACACUGGGCACGUUAAAGAACCAGGCUGU
Long non-coding RNA from Mercenaria mercenaria, 987 nucleotides. RefSeq lists it as uncharacterized. NCBI's taxonomy places the organism in Eukaryota, Metazoa, Mollusca, Bivalvia, Venerida, Veneridae. The record is from RefSeq and is a predicted model, not a curated record. The transcript has 3 exons.